AAGUCGUAACAAGGUUUCCGUAGGUGAACCUGCGGAAGGAUCAUUAACACGUAUCCAACGUUAAACAACCCUGUGAACUUUCAGCCGCUCUUGUAGCCCUCGAGGAACAGCAAUCCCGGUAAAUCAUUGCCGAACAGUUUUGAUUCGGGACCUCUGUCCAAAAGGUAUCAAGUUACAAUUGAAGCGUAGGAGCAGUGGCAUGGCUUCCCCAAGCGGCUAGUGAAAUGACAUUGUCACUAGUUGUGUAAGGAUAACGCCUCACGGUUGCUAGAGGUCGAUCACCGGCCGGCAGACAUGUCACAGGGCUUUACGCCCCUUAACCACCCCUUGCAAGAAUGCCCCGCCUAGAUGGUAACGCGCUAGGUAAAAAAAACCGAACAACUGUUAACAAUGGAUAUCUUGGUUCUC
This 408-nucleotide unclassified non-coding RNA is filed under the name fungal sp. RNAcentral describes it as "partial internal transcribed spacer region". The stretch from base 1 to 46 matches the Rfam family "Eukaryotic small subunit ribosomal RNA", at positions 1786 to 1831 of the family's 1831-position model. The record is from RNAcentral. Lineage: Eukaryota; Fungi. RNAcentral also lists the same sequence under 1 other name.